GAUUUAUUUAAUCCGUUUAAUUUAAUUAUGCAUGUGAAUUUGUUCAUUAAGAUCCUAUGAAAAUGCAGUGCCUAUAUGUCCCCUAGGAUGUCUGUUCAGACACUAUAUCCAUUAGGCAUCUUUCACUUUCUGCUAAUGAUCAGUGACACAGAGCCUUAAAGUCAUUAGUUUUCAGUAAAGGCUUUUACUUGUUUUGCUGCCUUUCAUUAAACAUUUCACAUAGCAUCUGCAGUGUUGUGUGGGUUGUUCACAAGUAUAGUG
This is a non-coding RNA of Pelobates cultripes (western spadefoot toad), 261 nucleotides long. The record is from the annotation of a GenBank genome assembly. NCBI's taxonomy places the organism in Eukaryota, Metazoa, Chordata, Amphibia, Anura, Pelobatidae.